Molecule: long non-coding RNA, 600 nt
Filed under: Phoenix dactylifera (date palm)
Lineage: Eukaryota; Viridiplantae; Streptophyta; Magnoliopsida; Arecales; Arecaceae
Description: long non-coding RNA (PDAC_LNC020862)
Source: RNAcentral
CUUCUCUCUUGAAUGAUUUUGCUUUUGGUUGGUGAAGAGUAGUUGAGAAGCACUUAAGAGCUCCCUUUUAUAGCCCAAAAAGCAAAUAUAGCCGUUAGAGAUAAAGUAGAGAAGAUUUGAAAUUCAAAUCAAACCUGAAAAGCUGUCAGUCGCAUCCCAGGCGCUCCGGGGACGUCUCCGCUACAACGAGAGACGUCUUGCCUACAGGAUUUUACUUUUUACUUUAUCUGGGGUCGACUCGGCACUUUACGGGGACGUCUCGGCGUGUUAGCGCUUUUUGAGUGGGGACGACUCCGCUGCUUUGGGGACGACUCCGCUUCUUUAUCUCCGAAAAUCAUGUCCUCUGGAAUUUCCUGAGAGAGUCGACUCCGCUUUUUCAGGGGACGUCUCCGCUUGUCUGCACUUUAUGCGUGGGGACGACUCCGCUUUCUCAGGGUCGACUCCGCUUCCUUAUCACCGAAAAAACCAUUCUCUGGAAAACCCUGAGAAAGCCGUCUCCGCCAUCUUGGGGACGACUCGGGAAGUCUCCUUUUUGCUUGCGGGGACGACUCCGCGUACAGCGGGGACGUCUCGCGCAUAUCCCUUGAAAAGCGUCUUUCU